Molecule: ribosomal RNA, 253 nt
Filed under: uncultured bacterium
Lineage: Bacteria
Description: partial 16S ribosomal RNA
Rfam family: Bacterial small subunit ribosomal RNA
Source: RNAcentral
GACGUGGGGCGCGAGCGUUGUCCGGAUUUAUUGGGCGUAAAGAGCUCGUAGGCGGCUUGUUGCGUCGACUGUGAAAACCCGCGGCUUAACUGCGGGCUUGCAGUUGAUACGGGCAGGCUAGAGUUCGGUAGGGGAGAUCGGAAUUCCUGGUGUAGCGGUGAAAUGCGCAGAUAUCAGGAGGAACACCGGUGGCGAAGGCGGAUCUCUGGGCCGAUACUGACGCUGAGGAGCGAAAGCGUGGGGAGCGAACAGG